Molecule: unclassified non-coding RNA, 390 nt
Filed under: Hevea brasiliensis (rubber tree)
Lineage: Eukaryota; Viridiplantae; Streptophyta; Magnoliopsida; Malpighiales; Euphorbiaceae
Source: RNAcentral
GAAUAAUUGAAAACUGUGAGAGGAUUCAAUGGCGUUGCAAGAACAACUAGAUAGGUUUAAGAAACAGCAAGAAAGAUGUCAGACUACUUUGUCUGGCAUUGCUGCAUCCAAGUCUGCGUCCAAGUCUACACCCAAGUUUACGCCUGCACCAGCUGUUUCCAUUGCAAGACCUCCGGCUCCUGCUGUAAAAUUUUCAAAUGAUACUGAGAGACUUCAACACAUUAACAGCAUAAGAAAAUCCCCUGUCGGGGCUCAAAUCAAGAGGGUUAUUGACCUGCUGCUGGAGACAAGGCAAGCCUUUACACCUGAGCAAAUCAAUGAAGCAUGUUAUGUUGAUAUAAAUUCCAACAAGGCUGUCUAUGAUAGUCUGCGGAAUAACCCAAAGGUGCA